RNAcentral lists this ribosomal RNA (837 nucleotides) under Salmonella enterica. Its description in RNAcentral is "partial 23S ribosomal RNA". It matches the Rfam family "Bacterial large subunit ribosomal RNA", at positions 1139 to 1874 of the family's 2925-position model. The record is from RNAcentral. Lineage: Bacteria; Pseudomonadati; Pseudomonadota; Gammaproteobacteria; Enterobacterales; Enterobacteriaceae.
AGCUCACUGGUCGAGUCGGCCUGCGCGGAAGAUGUAACGGGGCUAAACCAUGCACCGAAGCUGCGGCAGCGAACGUAUCACCCAAGACAACUUUACGGAGUUGACGAUUGACGGAGCGAAGCGACGUCAAAGCGUUCAUUAAAGUCGAGUUGGCUUAGGGAUACGUUCGUUGGGUAGGGGAGCGUUCUGUAAGCCUGUGAAGGUGUGUCGUGAGGCAUGCUGGAGGUAUCAGAAGUGCGAAUGCUGACAUAAGUAACGAUAAAGCGGGUGAAAAGCCCGCUCGCCGGAAGACCAAGGGUUCCUGUCCAACGUUAAUCGGGGCAGGGUGAGUCGACCCCUAAGGCGAGGCCGAAAGGCGUAGUCGAUGGGAAACGGGUUAAUAUUCCCGUACUUGGUGUUACUGCGAAGGGGGGACGGAGAAGGCUAUGUUGGCCGGGCGACGGUUGUCCCGGUUUAAGCGUGUAGGUGUGUGUUCCAGGUAAAUCCGGUUCACUUUAACACUGAGGCGUGACGACGAGGCACUACGGUGCUGAAGCAACAAAUGCCCUGCUUCCAGGAAAAGCCUCUAAGCAUCAGGUAACACGAAAUCGUACCCCAAACCGACACAGGUGGUCAGGUAGAGAAUACCAAGGCGCUUGAGAGAACUCGGGUGAAGGAACUAGGCAAAAUGGUGCCGUAACUUCGGGAGAAGGCACGCUGACACGUAGGUGAAGUGAUUUACUCAUGGAGCUGAAGUCAGUCGAAGAUACCAGCUGGCUGCAACUGUUUAUUAAAAACACAGCACUGUGCAAACACGAAAGUGGACGUAUACGGUGUGACGCCUGCCCGGUGCCGGAA